GAGAUAUGAGCUGUCUUAAAGGUAUUUUCUAUUGAAUUUAGUUUUUGAGUUAAAAUUCUUAGAUGUUUUUAUGGGACGAGAAGACCCUAUAGAGUUUUACAUCUAGCUCUUCCUUCUUAUUAUGUUUGUUUAUUUAUUUUGAGUUGGUUAGGUGUUUUGUUGGGGUGAUGGGAGGAACAAAAUUAACUCCUCCUUGAUUUUGUAUAUUUAUUUAUAUUUGUUUUGAUCCAUUUAUUUUGAUUAUAAGAUUAAAUU
RNAcentral lists this ribosomal RNA (255 nucleotides) under Microcerotermes fletcheri. Its description in RNAcentral is "partial large subunit ribosomal RNA". Lineage: Eukaryota; Metazoa; Arthropoda; Insecta; Blattodea; Termitidae. The record is from RNAcentral.